This is a ribosomal RNA of Gossypium arboreum, 119 nucleotides long. Lineage: Eukaryota; Viridiplantae; Streptophyta; Magnoliopsida; Malvales; Malvaceae. The record is from Rfam.
GGGUGCGAUCAUACCAACACUAAUGCACCGGAUCUCAUCAGAACUCCGCAGUGAAGCCUGCUUGGGCGAGAGUAGUACUAGGAUGGGUGACCUCCUGGGAAGUCCUCGUGUUGCACCUC